UACGUAGGUGACAAGCGUUGUCCGGAAUUAUUGGGCGUAAAGGGAGCGCAGGCGGUUGGAAUAGUCUGAUGUGAAAGCCCACGGCUUAACCGUGGAAGGUCAUUGGAAACUGUCCAACUUGAAUGCAGAAGAGGUAAGUGGAAUUCCAUGUGUAGCGGUGAAAUGCGUAGAUAUAUGGAGGAACACCAGUGGCGAAGGCGACUUACUGGUCUGUAAUUGACGCUGAGGCUCGAAAGCGUGGGUAGCGAACAGGAUUAGAUACCCGCGUA
RNAcentral lists this ribosomal RNA (269 nucleotides) under uncultured prokaryote. RNAcentral's name for it is "partial 16S ribosomal RNA". It matches the Rfam family "Bacterial small subunit ribosomal RNA", at positions 524 to 792 of the family's 1533-position model. The record is from RNAcentral.